Long non-coding RNA from Mus musculus (house mouse), 7319 nucleotides. RefSeq annotates it as predicted gene, 32036. The record is from RefSeq and is a predicted model, not a curated record. Lineage: Eukaryota; Metazoa; Chordata; Mammalia; Rodentia; Muridae. The transcript has 3 exons.
GAAACUCCUGCUCAUUUAUUUAGCAUCUUCAGAGAUCAUCGGCUUUUCUGGGAAGAGCUUUUCUCUGAUCUGGUAGUAUCACAAGAUUGACAGAUACAUCAGCACAUCAACUGGCCAGAUGCCUUUGCAUCCUGGUCUCCUGUCGCUGCAUCAGAGCAUAGCAAGCAAGGCAUGAGGAAAAGGUGAACAGUGCUGGGAACAAGAGGAACAAGAAGCUGGAGCAGGUGAGAAGAGCCAACCUAAGGCUGGUCCACACUUUCUGACAGCAACCCACAUAAAAGGACAUGGAAGACAGAAGUUUUUCCUUUCUGCCUGUUUGACCUCGAUUUCGAUAUUGGGUUCAUCUACCCUGUUCCUGAAUCACUUCUUCACUGCUGUGAGGACAUACUCCUUCAGGAGUCCAAUGUAGACUGAAGAACAGCAGCUCUCUAGAACCUCCCUGGGACUCUACCCUGGGUCUGGUAUUGCUGAGACAUCUAGUAUAACAGAUGGAUCAGCAGCCAGAUCCAUAGCUUUUCCGUUAGGAGACAGCUAUUGUUGGACGAGAUGGACCACACCCUGUAUGUGAAUCAGUCUAAUAAAUCUCAGGCAAACAUACAUACAUACAUACACACAUACAUACAUACACACACACAAACACACACACACACACACACACACACACACACACACGUGCGCACGCGCGUGCGCACAUACUGUUCCACUUCACCUUUAAGAACCCUGACGAACACUUUUUUUUUAUUAUUCCCUCUGUGUCCUGUGUAUGGAUAAAGAUGGAAGCUCUCAGUUCCUUGUUCCUGCUGGCAUGCCUUCCCCACCCUCUGUUACAGACAUCUAGCCCUCUGGAGCACUAAGGAAAAUUGUUUGAUUAUGGCAUUUUAACAGAGCAGCAAAAUAGUAACUAAAUAUAGACUCGUUAUCUCAAUUUAUGUCCCCUCUUUGACCUCAGUCCUCUGCCCAUCACACCCGGCCCUUUCAGGUGACAAUAGGGAGUGACCACAUGAUAUAGCCAUGGCCUCUGCUGCACUCUCUACAACUGCAUUUUUAAAUCUCCCACUGAACAUAAUUUACUUUGCAAUUACAAGAUAAAUACUUUUUUUGACCAACAAGUACUUACACUUUAUAAGAGAACAGCACAGAAUGGUACCCCUUCCUAGCUAAGCAACUCUGACUCCUGUCUGCCCUUUCAUUUAAAAUGCUUUCAUCUCAUUAGGCCUCACUUAAAAUGCGGGUGAUUUCCUGUUAAUUGAACAUAUACUAAUAAAAUGGUGUCUCUGCCAUUAUGAAAUCUCUCUUAUACUCCACACUGGAGUCUGGAAUUCAGGUCACAGAAACUUGUUAACCAUUCACACACAGUCCCCAAAACACAGUUAAUAGAAGGGAAAGAGGCUUCAGAUGUGGAUGAAUAGAGCAAUCAGCUUGGUGAGUAGUGACGAGUCUCCUAAGGGAUGGUCUGUAACUGAACCAAGGGACUGAUGGAUUGUGCUGCUGUGGAGCGGAAGAACCUGCUAAUUGUUUCCUUCUCACAUUUGCCAAAUCUGGACACAGCAAAGAAAGUUAUAUGGGCUUGGUCAAAACUUCAGAAGUGAGAACUCUAUACUAGUCUUGAAUUACAAAGGGAUACUGUCUGAAUCUAUUAGCAUUGUCAGGCUUAUCUGGGACUGUUUGUGAAACUCAUGAAGUUUUAUACUACACAUGUCCAGUGGUAGACAAUGUCCAGAAGGCAAAACACAAUAGGUAUGACUUCAGCAGACUAGGGUUAUCCUAGCCUUUCAAACAAAUGUUAAACAACUUAACCAUUUUUUUUUACUGUGAUUACAUGAACAGAAGCAACAAAUUGAUUUUUUGGAGAACCCUGGAUCUCUCUCCCUGCACUCUCAUUUGUAAGUGCGGAAGCAGUUGUGUGCAGAACAUCUGGGAAAGGUCAUCUUAGCUUCUUCCUGAAUGAGGCACGCUCCCUGUGAUGGUGGAACCAUGGCCAACAGGUGUUCUUUUUUAGAAAUGUCCCUGUGCAAGCUUGUCUACUUUUCCUGGAAAUGCUUGUAGCUAAAAUCCUCCAGCAUAUGGUCUCCUACGACCAUAUUACCAUUGCCUGAUACCGGCUCCAUCCAGAAACACGAUACACAGUUCAUCUACUGACACCAGGAGAGUACAGAGCCAUCCUGAGUGGUAGGCAAAGUGCUUGCUCUUAUUCCACAGAUGAGACCCCUGAGGCUCAAGCUGCUGAGUCCCUUUCCACAUGGCUAUCUGGGUACAAGGAAGGAUGAGCUAGGCUUUUUAGUCUCCACUGUGUCUGGCACUGAGCCAUGUGUAGUACAUUGAGAGAUGAGCUGGAAAAGGAAACUUCCAAUAUCAGGAACCUUAAAGGAAAGCUCCUGCACUCAGGAAUGUAUUUCCACUGUGGACACAUUCCCUUUGUGACCAAGCCAAAUUCCAGUUGUUCUCUAUACAAGGAAGGAAAAAAUAUAUAUAUUAUUGAUAUUUGAAAAUCUACCUUGGGUACCAAUACACAAGACUUGGUAUUUCUGUAACAACAAGUUUUGGUAUUCUGUCUGGACUCUGCCCGCACAGUUACCUGACAACAGCCAGGAAUGCUCCUCCCCACAGUUAGCUACAACAGCCAGGUAGGUCUGGCCACCUAUAAAAGGGGCUGCUUGCCCCCUUCUCUCUCUUACUCCUGCCUUUCUCUCUCUUGCCUCCUUGCUCCCUCCUCCCCAUUCCCUUCUCCCUCUCUCUUCACGUGGCCGUUACCGGCCUCUACUUCUCUACUCUCUCCUUCUCUCUGCCUUUCUCUGCCUCUACUACUCUCUUACCUACCCACCCUUUGAGCUAAAUAAACUCUAUUUUAUACUACACUGUCAUGUGGCUGGUCUCUCAGGGGUAAGGGAUGCCUUGGCAUGGGCCCACUGAGGCACCCCCUUCCCACACACCCAGCCAGAACAUAUUCUCAUAGGUCUUUCUCAUUUUUAUGAUCACAACAACAAUUUCAGGAGAAAAGCUGAUGAGGGAAGGGAAAUAAUGUAAAAAGGCUUACAAGGGCCUGACCAGAAGAGGUUGCAAAACACAGCUCCACACUGCUGUCGCCUGCCUGACUCAGGCAGCCUCAUGUCAGCAGCUACCAACACUUUCUUUUUUUAUGAAGCAAGUACCUUACAGUCUAUUUCAACAAAUGCUGUGCAUCAAACUAAAGUUAGCAAAGUCACUCUUGGUCUUCCUGCUGUCCUAAGAGAGUGUAAUUAUGAUGAACGAGGACAAUCUAAUAAAAAGUGGCAAGGACCAUGAACAAAGCCCAACGCUACCUCGAAUUAGCAGCUGACAACCACAAGCACAAGAAUCCACUCGCUACUAGUCAUUGGGAAACAUUAAAGGAAAAACUACAUCUUUUCAUUACAAUGCAUUUGGUUCUAGAGGAUGUCUGUCUAUACUGCAAACCUACAAACCUAUUGUGGCAGAUGAGAAGGCUUUUGAAUAAAUACUUGUUAAUAGCCUGGACAGAUAAAAUAAUAUAUAAUCUCAUUGCACGACACAGGGUUUCUUUAAAAGACAGCUCCUCUACUUAAAUAUUCAUGUUUCAAUUAAAAUGUACACCUACUUUAUUAGCCACACCAGGUCCAGUUCAGAUCAAUAACAGCAGCACUAGAUGGAAUUCUAAUGAAGAUAAACAACUCUGAGUCCUCUCAGCUCCCCCUGGGCACCACACACAAAGCUUCCUUUCAUUACUUGCUGCAAGCCUAUUUUACAGUCACCUGCCUCAUGCAAAUGAGGAGCCUCAUGUUUAUUCAUGAGGAGAGUUACAGACUACCUUUCAUUCCAUAGGCUGGCUCAGUGAACCUAAAGAGUGAGCUGAGCAGGGCUGGGAGGAGGACUUCUGAAUAUACAACUGUCUUCUGCAAAGCACACACUGGAAGUCAGUAAGCCAAAAGCAAUGUGAGAAGUAAGCCGUCCCCUGUGAGCCCAGGCAUUUGCCAGUGUUAACAUUUUAACCACCAUCCCAUUUUAUGCCACACCAAGAUCCAUUAUUUUCUGUGACUCCUCUUCAGGGGAUUUCUUAGAAUGUUUCCUUCUGGUCCAUUCUCCAAUUCUUCCUAAUUGGGAUUUUCUCCCAUUGACACAGAUGAUGCCCACAGCUUGGCCAAGGGGCAGCUGCUUUGCUAGCCCCGGGUUGUUCCACCUCGGUCUCUGAUAUUUUAAGCAUCCACGACUUUUCAUCUGUGAGUGUAAGAUUCCAAGCCUUAGCAAAGUGUGCCUAGCCUAUUUUUGCUGUUGGAUAAAAUUCCAAGAUAGCUCUAUUACUUACUUCGCAGUAAGGCCACUUUUAAAAUUGUCACUUCCAUUUCAUUACAUGGAAACAUGCAAAGUUGUGUCAUCUCCGUUUAUAAUGUUGAUUUUUGAUAGUGCCAUCAAUACCAAAAAGACAGAUUGCUGAUGGUCCUUAGAAUGACUUGAGUACCACUAAAUGAGUCUGACCAAGUAGUCAGCUUUUGGAGAGGCCCUAGUUCUCAUCAACUGUUAGGGACACACAAUUCUUGAGGCCUGCUGAUAUCCUAUUAGGCUGCUAUCAUGAUGUGCCAAUGUGGGAAACCAAGUCAGUUCUUAAAGCUGUUUGGCAACAAAUUGCUGAAGUCAGCAUAAGUUUAAUUUUUGCCACUGUUAGGUUAGUCGUACCGUUCAGAACUUGGCGUAAGGUUCACGGACAUCUUCACCAUUCACCACCAUUUUAACCUGAUAUGCUUAAAAUGAACUUCAAAAAGCUGCUUGGCCAUGUUUGCAGAUGAGAUUUAUCUUAUGAUUUCUUUUUUAAAAAGCUGUAUCACAUCUGCAUAUAAAUUUACUUCCUCAACAUAUGUUUACAUGUAUGACUCCAAUUACUAUAGCAUCACCAAUAAGAGAAGAUGAGACAGCAUUUCCAUUUUUCUUUUUUGUUAAUUUUCAGGCAUGGAAUUUUUGAGUAUGACAAAUGGUCACAGUACUCUUCUCAAUGCAGGCAGUCUGAAUUAGUUGGAAAUAUGUGUGGCAUAUAUCUAUAUCAAUAGGUGGAAAUCCCAUUGUUACAACUCACCUUGAGUGAGCAACUCUAACUUCAUGAAAACAAUUCGUGGAUAGCUUUUUCCCACUGAAUGGUUUCCCUGGUCGGUGGUUCUACUGCCCACUGAGCUAAGAGGUCCUAUGUGCUCCAAAUGUAUCCACGGUUUGAGACAUACUGCUGCAUAGAUCCAUAUUCCACUUGCAAACUCUUGUUAGAAUAAUUAAAGUGAGACAACUACAACCCACACAAGCAUAAAAUAAGAUUCCUGUAAACAAAACAUUAUAAGUGAAGCCCUCAAAUGAUGGUUGGGCCACUUGUGUGGGAAAAUAGCUGGCAGCAGUUUAGCUCUUCCCUGACACCCCUACAAAUGAAUAAUGCAUGUUCUAAAAUAUUGGUAAUAAAAGCCAAAACACAGAAUACAAACUCAAUGGCCUGAAUCAAGGGAUUAUUCUGUAGACUGCUAUAUCUAGAAAGUGAAAGUUCUUUCCGAAGCAUAAGUAUUUUAAUCAUCCCAAUUCUACUUCUCUUACAUAAAUAAGAAAACUUCCCGUCUGCUGCUCCUCAAGACUGGAAGAGCAGUAGCCAGCUGCUUUUCCAAACGCCGUCUUCCAGCAGUGGCAUUAACUAGUGACAUUAACUAGCACAUUCCAGAUACCUUCAAGCUGAAGCCGAAGUCAGGGUACCCACCAGAAGCUAUUCCUGCCUUUGCUAGAACGUGCUGCAAGUGCUAUGUUGGUGAAAUUAAAAUUUUGAAUUAGUGGCCCUGAGGUAGGCAAUUCAAUCUCCAUUUCAUGCUGUAUAUAAAACGACCAGAGCCUGAGAUAUCGAAAGUAUUUCAAAAGCAAUGGUGUUUCAUGUUGGGUUCUUUUAAAAUAUUCCUGAAUUCGAAUUUAGACAAUCUCAGGAACAUGAUAUCAUUUAAAUCUACCAGAAACUCCAAACCCACAUUUGUUCCUAAAUUCAAUCUCCUCUGCUACCAAGUUAAUAACAAGAAGAAAAGUGAACUGAUUUCAAUUUCAGCACUUCUCUCUGCUUCCAUUUAUUAUUGAGUAAAGCGGCACAGUGGUUGAUAGGCAGGAAGCAAGAAAAAAGAAAUAAAAAAUGGAAAGGCUGCAUGGAAUGGUGGUAGUGGCUCUCACACUGCACACUCAUUGUCGUCUUUCUUUUUGCCCCCAAAGUAAAAAGGCAGGGAGAACAGGGACACAAAGGAAAGGGGACACAAACAUAUCUGUAUUGAGCCUGAGAAGCUCUCAGCUGAAUUCUGGAAUUAUGUCUACCAGUCAAAUUACAAGCAAAGAGUUUUUCUAUCAAUACUGUAUUAAAAGUUGUUAUUAACACUUAUAGAUAAAACAAACACAGAUAAAAUAUAGACUAUGAUGGUCAGCAGAAUACCCUCCAAGGAGGCCCAUGUUUUAAUCCCUAAGAUGUGUAAGUGUGCUACACGGCAAAGCGUUAUUUAGGUUACCAAUAGAAUUAAGGUUGUUUUUUUUUGCCAACCUUAACACUGGGAGCUUAUUAUCGUGAAUUAUCCAAAUUCCAAACAAUCUUGGGACACUUAAAAAAAAGACAUCAGAGGUGGCAUCAGAAAGGACUAGACCCACAGCGGUUGGCAUUGAAGAGAGAGAAACAGGAUGCAAACCAAGGAAUAUAGCAACCUCUAGAAGCUAAAGACUGUGAGGAAACAAAUUUUCCCCUAGAACAUUCAGAUAGAAACAUUGCUUGUUGAAGCCUUAACUGUGAUCCAAGGAGACACUGUUAGCUUCUGAAUUAUAGAACAGUCAGAUAAAAAAUUUGCAUUGUUCAAGCUACUAAUUCUGCAGUCAUUUGUGGUAGUAGGAAAAGAAAAUGAAUACAUAUGCUAUUUACUAUUUAUCUAUAUCUAUGUAUCUGUGUACUUAUAUUUCAAUAAAUUCAUGUAUGUGUUUAUGCAUUCAUCUUGAAAUAUGCUUUUCUUUAAUAAGCAGGGGAAAAGCAGAGUAUUAUGGGAAAUUAAAAUCCCGUGUCUUUUCUAUGCUUGACCCCUCUCUGACACUAAUUCUUGAACCAAUGUUAAUCUAUAUCACGGAUGGUGAGGUAGCCUUCCACGAGGAGUGAGUGUCCUAACACAGAACACAGAGACUUGCUUGGCUGGCCUGCCCCCACAGCACAUGAAGAGUCACGCUGAUCCAGGGCAGAGUGGCCACAGCCACUUUGAAAGGCUAUUGAUUUAAGUCUCCUCUUGUGACUUGAGUGGGGAAGGCCUCCUUUCUCUGGGGUGAUUUGCACCUGAAUAGCAAAGUCUCUCAUAAUCAAG